AUACCUCUUCGUGUAGAAAGUCUUUGAAUGUUUUUACAAUCAUCGAGUCGUGACUUCUAGGAGACGCGAUUCUUUGAGACAAAAGUUAUCACAACUUUCAGCAAUGGAUCUCUUGGCUCUCGCAUCGAUGAAGAACGCAGCGAAUCGCGAUAUGUAAUGUGAAUUGCAGAUCUACAGUGAAUCAUCGAAUCUUUGAACGCACCUUGCGCUCAUCGGUGUUCCGAGGAGCAUGCCUGUUUGAGCGUCAGUAAAUUCUCAACCCCUCUCGAUUUGCUUCGAGUGGGGCUUGGAUAGUGGGGGCUGCCGGAGACCUGGAAUUCAUUCUAGGACUCGGGCUCCUCUGAAAUGCAUCGGCUUGCGGUCGACUUUCGACUUUGCGCGACAAAUCUUUCGGCGUGAUAAUGAUCGCCGUUCGCUGAAGCGCAUGAAUGAAUGGUCCCGUGCCUCUAAUCAGUCUACGCCUUCUGGG
RNAcentral lists this ribosomal RNA (469 nucleotides) under uncultured Suillus. RNAcentral's name for it is "eukaryotic LSU rRNA". The stretch from base 93 to 247 matches the Rfam family "5.8S ribosomal RNA". Lineage: Eukaryota; Fungi; Basidiomycota; Agaricomycetes; Boletales; Suillaceae. The record is from RNAcentral.